Molecule: ribosomal RNA, 253 nt
Filed under: uncultured bacterium
Lineage: Bacteria
Description: partial 16S ribosomal RNA
Rfam family: Bacterial small subunit ribosomal RNA
Source: RNAcentral
UACGAAGGGUGCAAGCGUUAUCCGGAUUCAUUGGGUUUAAAGGGUGCGUAGGCGGACUCGCAAGUGCUUUGUGAAAUCCCACGGCUCAACCAUGGAAUUGCUUGGCAGACUGCGGGUCUUGAGGUUGGUAGGGGUCGCCGGAACUCUAGGUGGAGCGGUGAAAUGCGUAGAUAUCUAGAGGAACGCCAAAGGUGAAGACAGGCGACUGGGCCAAAUCUGACGCUGAGGCACGAAAGCGUGGGGAGCGAACGGG